This is a long non-coding RNA of Acanthopagrus latus (yellowfin seabream), 648 nucleotides long. RefSeq lists it as uncharacterized. The transcript is spliced from 6 exons. Lineage: Eukaryota; Metazoa; Chordata; Actinopteri; Spariformes; Sparidae. The record is from RefSeq and is a predicted model, not a curated record.
AAAGCUUCCUGUCAAACAGAGAAGUGUGGAGCUGACAGCAUGUUACUUUGAGCACGGAUGAAUCUAUCAUUAGCUAAGUGUCUGUGCACCGCGGAGGCUCCUGCUGCUGUCAGUUCACAGAUGAGGACCGCCAUCAAAGUGUGCGUCUCCUCUUUGAGGGAGCUACACCCUUCAGAAGUAAGGAGGCCCGUGUUUGCUCCAGGGAUUACAUUACCACACCAGAGGCCUGCCAGACAGACGUCACCACCCAAGGUGCACACGUGGGUUUUGGACAAGCUUCCAGAGGUUAGCUGAAGAAAGCCCGGCAGAUUUCGGGGAGUCACACCGGGUCGGAUCCGGAAGCCCCCUUACAUCCACCGCCACCGCUUCAAGGGAAGGCAUUCAUAUCUGACCUAAUUAAGAACUGUGAAGAGGCUUGCUCUGAUGGAUCGAGGAUUCUCAAGAGGCCAAGUCAAGUCCCAUGACAUCACACCCACGGACAAUACACCUGAAGAAGCUCUUCAGAGGGCCAGAGGCUGGACUGGGGAGAGGGAGGCGCAGCAGCUUAUGAAGAUGUGGCUGAGGUAGACAUAGUGUCCACAACAAAGAAGACAGAAUCAAGUGAAAAAGAUCUGCUUUGUGGUUUGGAAGAAAUUGAAAAUGUAAUUU